RNAcentral lists this ribosomal RNA (459 nucleotides) under uncultured bacterium. RNAcentral describes it as "partial 16S ribosomal RNA". It matches the Rfam family "Bacterial small subunit ribosomal RNA", at positions 338 to 795 of the family's 1533-position model. The record is from RNAcentral.
CCUACGGGCGGCAGCAGUGAGGAAUAUUGGUCAAUGGGAGAGAUCCUGAACCAGCCAAGCCGCGUGAGGGAAGACGGCCCUAUGGGUUGUAAACCUCUUUUGUCGGAGAAUAAAACGCGGGACGAGUCCCGGACUGCGUGUAUCAGAAGAAAAAGGAUCGGCUAACUCCGUGCCAGCAGCCGCGGUAAUACGGAGGAUGCGAGCGUUAUCCGGAUUUAUUGGGUUUAAAGGGUGCGUAGGCGGUUCGUUAAGUCAGCGGUAAAAUUUCGGGGCUCAACCUCGACUUGCAGUUGAAACUGGCAGUCUUGAGUAGGGUAGAGGUAGGCGGAAUGCGCGGUGUAGCGGUGAAAUGCAUAGAUAUCGCGAAGAACUCCGAUUGCGAAGGCAGCUUACUGGAGUCAGACUGACGCUGAGGCACGAAAGCGUGGGGAUCGAACAGGAUUAGAUACCCGUGUAGUC